Molecule: ribosomal RNA, 207 nt
Filed under: uncultured bacterium
Lineage: Bacteria
Description: partial 16S ribosomal RNA
Rfam family: Bacterial small subunit ribosomal RNA
Source: RNAcentral
UGCGCAGGCGGCCCGAUAAGUCAGGGGUGAAAUAUGACGGCUUAACCGUCAAACUGCCCCUGAAACUGUCAGGCUUGAGUUCGAGAGAGGUAGGUGGAAUUCCAGGUGUAGCGGUGAAAUGCGUAAAUAUCUGGAGGAACACCGGUGGCGAAGGCGGCCUACUGGCUCGAUACUGACGCUCAGGCACGAAAGCAUGGGGAGCGAACG